RNAcentral lists this ribosomal RNA (900 nucleotides) under uncultured archaeon. Its description in RNAcentral is "partial 16S ribosomal RNA". It matches the Rfam family "Archaeal small subunit ribosomal RNA", at positions 23 to 903 of the family's 1478-position model. The record is from RNAcentral.
CCGACUGCUAUUUGGGUGAGAAUAAGCCAUGCGAGUUGAAUGGGAUACCUAAAGUUCCCAUAGCAAACUGCUCAGUAACACAUGAUCAACUUACCCUAUAGAGAAAAAUAACCUCGGGAAACUGAGGAUAAUGUUUCAUAAUUGAAUUGGCUUGGAAAAGUUUUUCAAUGAAAAGGAUAAAAAAAAUGGUUUUUAUCCGCUAUAGGAUAGGAUCGUGUUCGAUUAUGGUUGUUGGUGAGAUAAUGGCUCACCAAGCCGAUAAUCGAUAGGGGCCGUGAGAGCAAGAGCCCGGAGAUGGAUUCUGAGACACGAAUCCAGGCCCUACGGGGUGCAGCAGGCGCGAAACCUUUACAAUGUGCGAAAGCAUGAUAAGGGAACUCCGAGUGCCAGCAUUAAAUGUUGGCUGUCCUUGCGCCUAAAACGCACAAGAUAGCAAGGGCCGGGUAAGACCGGUGCCAGCCGCCGCGGUAACACCGGCGGCCCGAGUGGUAGCCGCUAUUAUUGGGUCUAAAGGGUCCGUAGCCGGUUUGAUAAGUCCUCUGGAAAUCUGAUUGCUCAACAAUCAGGCUGCCAAGGGAUACUGUCAAACUUGAGACCGGGAGAGGUAAGAGGUACUUCAGGGGUAGGAGUGAAAUCUUAUAAUCCUUGGGGGACCGUCUGUGGCGAAGGCGUCUUACCAGAACGGGUCUGACGGUGAGGGACGAAAGCUGGGGGCGCGAACCGGAUUAGAUACCCGGGUAGUCCCAGCCGUAAACGAUGCUCGCUAUGUGUCAGAUACGGUGCGACCGUAUCUGGUGCCGUAGGGAAGCCGUGAAGCGAGCCACCUGGGAAGUACGGCCGCAAGGCUGAAACUUAAAGGAAUUGGCGGGGGAGCACUACAACGGGUGGAGCCUGCGGUUU